CCCGCCUCCAUGGCCCAGCACACACGCACGCCCCAGCCACGACCAACCCAGCGCCGCCGCCUUUUUUUUCCUUUUCUUUUAGUCCCACCUCGCCUCCUUGAAGAAAAUCUAAAGGUAUAAACGAUGCCCCCCAUAGGGGGCUUCACAGCGAUAUCAGCUUCUGGACCGUUGAAUCUUGUCAGCAGCUAUCAGCCAGUGAAUCUCGUCCGUUCGUUCUAGGUAGCAACGCACCCCCUGGUUGGCUGUGUGGGCGUAUGAGCGUUUUACCAUUGGUUCCCCUCACUAGAGAAAGCCAUGGAACCGCGCUGGUGUACCCACCUGCGGCUGUGCGCGGGCCCCACGUCCAGCCGGGUCCGCUCGUCGGUAGCUGCGGGUCGAUUUUGGCUUAGUCGUGCAUCACUCCGGCCCGUGGAAAAUAGCUUCUCGCGACGGGGUAGUUUGGGUUUUUCGUCGAUCUCCCCAAUCCCUGUGUCCCGCAGCUCCCCCAAUGCACGCCUCCUCCACUCCCAUCCUCCUCCAAUCCCCUUGCGCCGCCUGCACCAGUCCGUCGCGCCGCCGUCGCCAGGAGGAAGUGCUAGACUACCAUUCCCCCAACCUGCAGCCGCCGCCUGGGUCUCCCGCAUUCAUCCCCUCCCCUGAUUCGGUGGUGCCACGGCGGACGGAUUCAUGGCGAGUUGCGGAGGCUGCGGAUUCAUGGCGACCUCACAGUGGCGCGAGCCGCUGCCGGCGAUGGAGAGGUGGAUCUCCGCAGGCAACGACAUGUUCACACCAUUAGCAGCAGCACCCUCUGCGUAGAUCUAUGGUAACCGACAAGGAGGAGAGGGACAGGACGGGAGGGGCAAGAAGCCCCGCGUCCUCAGCGAUGAUGAAGAUGGGGAGGAUGCAAAGAUGGCUUCUUCUUCAUCCAAGACCUGCAGGGGUUCAACCCAGAAAACGACCGCUGCAACAGGCACACCGAACCUGAUGGAGAGGGCUCGUUGGCAGAAGAUUUGGCUGGUGGGGUGGUCGCCCAACCUGGUGUCGAGAAGGCUCUACACAUUCUCUCCUGCAUCGUUCUUCUUGGUGACGGUUGAAGCAGUAAAGGCGUCGGUUCUCCUGCCAGUAGCAGCAGUGGCACGAGGAUGAGGGUGAGGUGUCGUGGCCAGCGUUCGGCCACUAUCGGAGAAGGUGGAGCAAGGGUGGAGGUUGCAGCACUGCAUGAAGCGAACUCUAAAUGCUAUUAUGUGUCAUCAACCUUCCCAUGCGCACCAGAAUAAGAAGUUUGAUGUUAUCGUAUAAACACAAUUAUCUCCAUGUUGGAAGUUGCUUCAGGAAGAAUAACAGGUUUGCUAUAAAACUUUGUCAACGGUUGAAGGGAAAGCAGAAAGUUCAUGCCUACUAAACUUGCUUCAUGAAGAAUAGCAGGUUUGCUACUAAUUCUGGUCGUCUUGGUGCAUCCCAGGUUUCUUACUAAUGUUGAUUUUUUUAAUGCAUUGGAGGUUUGCUACCAAAUUUCCGAAAAGAAUUAAUCCCUUUUUGAAUACCAUCUGUGGAGGUAUUAGCUGAAACCAGGGUAUUCAGAGAACACCUAAUAUAUUUGUGGACCAGUACUUGUUGUGGUGAUACAAGGUAAAGUUACUUUUUCAGCAACCCUUUCAGAGUAGCUUUUAUGCUUUUCUAAAUAUAUAUGUGGACAUUUAAAGCAUCUGUGUUCUAUAUAUUUCUUAGUUGCAAUCGUGCAUCAUCGUAUUUCAUUACCAUAGUAAUCAGUUUUCUGUUUAAUUUUUCCUACAUAAAUAUAUGUUAUAUAUAUGAGCCAGCGCUUGCAGAUUUAUAAAUUCAGAAUCUUUUUGUCAUGUUCAUUCUCUUAUAUUCUUCCAAGUUUUCCUGAAAAAAUAGUCUCUGGUACUUUCAUGUGUCCAAGGAGGCUGGGUCUGAUCUGCUGUUACCCAAGCUUGCCAAGAAGGCUUCAUAGAGGUGAGGUAUUUGACCUAGAGAUCUGAACAUAUACUUUUAUAUGGUCCCCAUCCAGUAGCAAUGCAAGUUUUGUGUUUGCAUUUUUUUCUAUAUUCCCAUAGAGUUAUACUUUAGUAGUGUGUCUGCCUUAUGUGCCAUUCAGUGUUGAUGAUCAUAGUAUGCAGAAAAUGACAAUGGUAUGGAUUAGUUAAAAUAAAGCAUCUAAAUUAGGAUAGGUAAGAUAAUUUUAUAAGCUCGCAGAGCAGUAAUUUAUUUCUUUGUAACGUGUUUAAAAAUAGGAGGGCAAUUUUGCAGCGGAUUUUCCAUUGCUUUGCCCCAUCGAUUCAUCAGAAUACUGCAAAAGGAAGGAUAAUUCCGCAUCCCGUAAUUCUUUUAUACUAUUAUAUAAUUUGUCGGCAAAUAGUCACUCGCCCUCUUUCUUGACCAGAAUAAAUGAUCACUAGAAAACUUACACUAAACCACGAUGGAUUUCUUGUGAACAGGCAUCAAAUUUAAAGUUUCUUCUUGAUAUGAAACAUUGCCCAACAUUUUUAGUAGCUGCUAGGUGCCUCCGAAGCUAAACUCAUAUGAAUUUAUUUCCAUUCACAUGAGAAAAUGAGGCAUAAUCUGUUUAUCUUCAUGUAUGUAGGCCAAAAAACAACAUGAUUGCUUGAUUGCAUAAUGUGUCUUUACGAACAAAUUAUUACCAUGUUAUGCAUGAAAUUAUUUGUAGCUGCAGUUCAGAUGUGAUAGUACCAGGAGCACUUGUGUCAAUAAUCACAAAUGGUUUUGCUGUACUAUUUAUAUGUUAAAAAUCCCGUUCUAUAUCUUGCUUGCUUACUCUUUGGCUAGGCUUCUUUUUCCCUUGAUAGAUAGAUGCAUGACUCUGCAUAGAACUCAUUACAGACAAUUAUUGUUUCUUCCGUAGUUACUGCAGCCCAUAUACAAAGACCUGGAUUUGUUGUCCAUUAUUUGACUAUCUUGACAUACCAUUAGCUUCUAACGGAUUAUAAUUGAAUUUAUGGUUUUCUCUGUAGCUAGGUGUGGGCAACUUAUGCCCAUGAGAGAUUAGAAUGCGAUUAUACAUGCUAAUAUUACUAUCCUUUAUAUCAACUAUGCUUGCUCAAAUGAUCCAAAAAAUGAAUGAACAACUGGAAUGCAAGAUCGUUGUUUGAAAGUAGUAGAAUUUUAAUAAAUAAUUUACCAUGUUUAGGUACAAUCUAAAUCACUGGUUUAUAAAAGGAUUAAAACCCCAAACCCAAUAUCAAAACUGGUCGGUGUGUAGCUUCAAUUAUGUGCAACCUGAUUGCGGUUCUACCAUGGUGAUGACGUGAAAUAGACCACAUUUUACUAGGCUUUAUUAUUCAAUAGUUAUACGUACAAGGAUCUUAGUUUCUUGUGGCAUUAAUUCUUGCUGACAAGGGUGAGUUGAGCAAAGUAAGACAUGUGGGGCGUGAGCUCCAAGGUAAUUUUGGGGGAAUUUACAGACGGUAUGAUCCACGUCCAUUACUUAUUGCAGUUAUUGGCUCUCUUUCUAUGUAGGUUAUUUUUGUGCUAGCUUUAAGCAUUAUUUCUCUUUGUGUUGUGACAAUAUAUGACACUCUAUGGUCUCCACUAUUAUGCAGAUUAGUAUCUUACUGGAAACAAAUGCCCCUAUAGAGUCUACAGGGCAAGGUGGCUACCUAUCCCUGAAAUGGCACAUAACGAUCAGCUUUCCUACUUUCAAUCUAUAUAUUACUUCAAAAAAGAUUCAUUGACAUCACAGUGCUUGCUUUCACGCUCAUUGGCCAAACUUCAAGGGAAAGAUGCCAAUACUAGAAAUUGUGGUGGAACCAUGGCGUCACACUGUAUCUAUAUCGCUUGUGCUUUCGAGUGGUGAAUCGGGACAGGCCCAGCCCCCACGACGUGAACCACUUUUGUUGUUACUGCUUUUGUUAAGUCCAGAAAAUCCAUGGUGUGCACCUAUCUCGUGAUGUUUGCAGCCUGUUAGGCAGGUACAAAUGUUGGUUAUGUGGCUUGACUCGCACGAAACCUAUGCACGUACGCAACUAUAGCCUCUGCAGGUUCCCUUGCUUCAUCUCUUUCUCCUCGAAGCAUGUCCAUUUCUAAUAUUGUGAAUGCUUUGUUUCAAGACCUGAACAGGAGGUUAUUACACUGCAAUUCAAAUGGAUUUUGUUCAGGGAAACAACAUGUCUGGAGAAAUCUCCCCGAGAAUGUGUUGAUUUGUUCAUGGAAAGGCUUUAGGAGGGAAAUGUUUAUGAGAAAGUGUGAAAUGGAGAUUGAAUUCUGCAGUACUUGCGUACUUGGUCACCAUUAUUCUGCCCAAAAGGUUUAGCUGAGAAUGCCUUGUGUUAUUCGGACAAUUGAGCAACAGAAGCAUAUGCAAGUUUGAAUCGGGAUUUUUUGCUUUGAGACUGGUAGUGACUCACCAUAUUACCUCAAGCAGCUUCAAUAUGAAUGCAAGAUUGAAAAGUAUAGGGCCUCACCGAGAUUCAGCGGUCCAGUUGCUGUUGGACGAGAGCCUGAGACGGCGGCUUGUCGGCGGUCGAGGUGGGCAAAAGCAAGCGGCGAGGCGACCAGGUGCAGGCGCCAUGGAGCUCUCAGCUCUGUCGCUGCUGCAAGUUGCCAUGCGGCUGGCGCGCUGCCUCCACCAGCUAGCUUCUCCCGUCGUCCCAAUCUCCACUGUUUAUUCUCAAUCCGUUGGGAAUAAAUAAUCAAGGACCAAGGAUAGGAGCUAGAGCUGCACGUGAAGAGGGAUUGGGGAUUUUGUUCGACAUGGAGAGAGCUGAAGCUGCACGUGAAGAUGGAUUGGGGAUUUUGGUCGACAUGGGGAGAGAGCAGAGUUGGACAGAUUUUUGCUAGAUGUACCAAUUUCUCUACCAAAUCAGUGAAUGAUAGUGAUGUCAGAUGUUGUAACUUGUGGCUUCAGUGGUAGUACUCCUAGCCGUAGUUCAAAAAUAGCCAAAAAAACUUCCAAACUAUGCUUGUUUAUUUUUUUGCCACAAAGUGAUAUUGGAAGGAAAAAACUCUCAGGCUGGAUGUUAAAUUAAUAUUUGCAUCUAUUUGUAUACUUAUAUUUUGUUUUCUACUACAACUCCCGACCUAUGCAAUGAUUUUACCCA
Molecule: non-coding RNA, 5057 nt
Organism: Lolium perenne
Lineage: Eukaryota; Viridiplantae; Streptophyta; Magnoliopsida; Poales; Poaceae
Source: RefSeq, a predicted model, not a curated record